AAGAGAAUAUUGUGUGUGUAGCCUCUCAGUAAUCAGAGGUUAACUAUUUAAACAUGGUUGAGAACACAAAGUGGACAGUGAAGUGUGUGUGCCUGCUAGUGACAGCCGCCGCCAAGCAGUCUUUCGCUAACGUCUGUGUGUGAAGUAGGGCUGAUACGGAAGGAGACGCCCCUUGGCACUGGAUCCUGAGAGAAGAGUGCUUUCAGCUCUGACCCAAACAGAUGUGUGGCAAAUCCAAAGUUGCAGGAUUGCUUAUGGAACACACAGACCAGGUCGUCACUGAUAAUGUCCCUCUUUGGGGAACAACCAUUGAUGUCCAGGAGAUUGGUGUAUCCACAGCUCUAUACAUCAGUAAAGAAAGUGAUGAGAUGAGAUCAAUGCAUGGAACAUUGUCAACAUAAUCAACUUCAACCUCACAAGUGAUGCCCUCAUCCCUACAUGACUCAAUGGAAGACUUGAAGAUGUGUGUGUUGUAAAAAUGUUGCAUUGUCUCUGCACACAGGUUAAUGCAGAGGUGCUCCAAGUGUGAGGGCUGUGGAAUGAAAGGAAAUGGCUUUCAUUAAUGUAUAUUCAUUGUAUUGCUUGUCAUUGAGUGAUGAAAGAUCCAGCUUUCAUUAAUAUUUAUUCAUUGUACUGCUGUCAUCAUGUGAUGAAAGAUGCUUACCUUGGGAUCCUCAAAGCCAAACAUGUCAAGAAUGCCGAUAAAACCAUCUGUAGCAUGCUUCACUGCAUUGUUAAGAACACUCAUUGAUUUUGAGGCCUUGGAGCCAGCAGUGCCCACUGUUGAAGCAUGUUGAGAUGCUACCUCCCCUUGGUGAUGGACACUCUCAUUGCUAAUGAAAAACAUGUAAUUACCAAGAAGCCAUUACUGAAAUAAAUAAUGAUUCAUAUGCUUAGAAUUCUAGGAAGUUAUUUUAGGUGCACUGUAAUAAAAUUUUACAAAGAAAA
Molecule: unclassified non-coding RNA, 948 nt
Filed under: Portunus trituberculatus (swimming crab)
Lineage: Eukaryota; Metazoa; Arthropoda; Malacostraca; Decapoda; Portunidae
Description: solute carrier family 2, facilitated glucose transporter member 8-like, transcript variant X1
Source: RNAcentral